Molecule: small nucleolar RNA, 78 nt
Filed under: Nelumbo nucifera (sacred lotus)
Lineage: Eukaryota; Viridiplantae; Streptophyta; Magnoliopsida; Proteales; Nelumbonaceae
Description: Small nucleolar RNA R160
Rfam family: Small nucleolar RNA R160
About the family: snoR160 is a C/D box small nucleolar RNA, which acts as a methylation guide for 25S ribosomal RNA in plants. snoR160 has been alternatively named snoZ270 in rice.
Source: Rfam by way of RNAcentral
AGCAAAGUGAUGAGCUAAUGGGUCUGAAUUUUAUGUGGAAUCACAUAAAACAAUAGUCUUCGAAGUUCUCUGAUUGCU